Molecule: small RNA, 581 nt
Filed under: Pan troglodytes (chimpanzee)
Lineage: Eukaryota; Metazoa; Chordata; Mammalia; Primates; Hominidae
Description: processed transcript
Source: RNAcentral
ACUCACCCUCCCAGUGUGCUUGAGAAACAAACUGCACCCACUGAACUCCGCAGCUAGCAUCCAAAUCAGCCCUUGAGAUUUGAGGCCUUGGAGACUCAGAUCCUGAACAAGAGAGAACAAAAUCUCUACUUUGAUGGAACUUCCAUUCUGUGGGGAAGAGACUGACAAUAAGCAAUUAAAUAAAUAAGAACUCAGCAGUAGGCCUUGCCUCAGAUCCAAGGUCACUCGGAAGAGGCCAUGUCUACCCUCAAUGACACUCAUGGAGGAAAUGCUGAGAGAAGCAUUCAGAUGCAUGACACAAGAGCCAAUGAAAGGCUCUAUUGCUAUGCAAUCUGGUCCAAAACCACUCUUCAGGAGGAUGUCUUCACUGGUGGGCCCCACACAAAGCUUCUUCAUGAGGGAAUCUAAGGCUCUGGGGGCUGUCCAGAUUAUGAAUGGGCUCUUCCACAUUGCCCUGGGGGUCUUCUGAUGAUCCCAGCAGGGAUCUAUGCACCCAUCUGUGUGACUGUGUGGUACCCUCUCUGGGGAGGCAUUAUGCCUGUAUGUGAGAAAAGGAAAAUGAGCAAUAGUCAUCAUCACUU